UUCUAUGUUCAACCCUCGUUGUUGCUUUCCUAUCUGAUCAGUAGGGGCCUGGAAGAUCGGCAUGGUCUCUAAAAGGGCAUCUCGGCCUAGCUAACCCCACAGCGGAAAGUGAGCGCAAAGGCCUGCAGAUAUAAAGUUACACACAGAGAGAUGCACUCUGUCUCACUAGAGUUAUAGCCAUGACCAGUGGGCUCUAACUUUUAACUAAACACGUUAUCCUGCAAGUAAGCUAAAUGAACUGAUCGACCACUGGAUCCGUUUAUUUACUAACGUUUCACAUUGUUGUCAUUCUGCAACAUAGCAACAAUUAAACAUGCAUAGCCAUUGUACCUUCCUGCGAUAGCGAACCAACACAGCUUCCAGUUCCAGGAAAGGAUCUCUGAAAAGACUGUACUAUCAACAAGGAAAGUCUAGCUUCUACGAAGGAGGUCCAGAGACGGCAAAGCCAGUGUUUCCUUGGACUAACAAGCCACGGAACCCACCACGCAGACCAAUCUGCACUCCAGCAACUUGUUGCUAAGCAUCCAAGUCAGCACAGGUGGUAUGAUGCCUGAGCCCAGUUGAGCAUAUCUUGUUUACAUGGACACGCCCAGUGAGCUUCACACGAACCUGAUGCUUGUUGGUUAGGAAGGGUGGGAGUGAUCUUGAAGACUCCAUCAGUCAUCCAGAGGGCAUCAGUCUCUCGAUUGGCUCCACCCCUUCCCAACCCACAGGUCCAGAGACCGCCUCCUCCUGUGAUGUGUACGACUCAUGAAGUAAUCAGGAAGCAGCAAGCGAUGAGGGAGAAGGCCGGAGAGAGUGAUGCUUUCUGAUAGAGUUGCACCCCACAAAUGGAGUCAAUCAAGUGGGGAGGGAAAAAUUCAUUUUCCGACAAGGGUAUCAGCGAGAUCGUCCGGACACGGUGACAACAAAUCCAUAGCGGAGGCAAGAAAAAGAAAGAAAUGAAGAGGAUGGAGAGAACGGGAGGAAAGAAAAAAAACCUGACUGGGUGUAAAACAGGACUCUCCGUAGCUGACUCCUCAUUCACGGCCCUACCUUUCAGCUGUCCAAAGCACAAUUUCAGGCUCAUCAUUACCCCUGCUGGAGACACGACACGCCGCUCCGCUGACAGCCGCCGCUGCCUGUCCGAGUAAUAGAAAGAUGACAAGCUGAAAGGGAGCGCUUUAGCAAUUCGCCAUCAGGGACCUAAACAUGGCUGCCACCGGUUUGUGAUGCAUUCAACGACUGUUUUCAAUGAGGCAUGCUUUCUCCUUUCUUAUUUUUUUUUUUCUUCUAUUCAGUUUAUUCGGCUC
Molecule: long non-coding RNA, 1292 nt
Organism: Anguilla rostrata (American eel)
Lineage: Eukaryota; Metazoa; Chordata; Actinopteri; Anguilliformes; Anguillidae
Exons: 3
Source: RefSeq, a predicted model, not a curated record